UUGUAACACUCUUAACCAUUAAUUUUCACUAGCAAAGACCAAAAGCAUGCAUUGUUUGGAGAUCUAUUUUACCAGGACAUUCUUUACUCAGCUCACUGUUCACAUUCUUGCUCUUGUCACAUGCCUUUGCUUGAGGACAAGCAAAGAUUUAAGUGUGGGGGAACUUGAUAAGCACAUUUCAUAUACAUCUUUUGGCACUUAAAUAUGUGGUUUAUUGAGAUACGACCAUCAAUUCUUGCUGUGAAAUAUUGAAUACUUGUAUGAAAAUCAUAUAAAGAAUCAUUUACAAGUCAUUUGUUUCUUUUGCAGAAAGGUGCGCAAAGGCACUAUAAACUUCCAAGAUCUGGACUAGGUGGCUAAGAGAAUUAGUCAAGUGAAAAGAAGAGAAGGAAGAAAGGACUUGGGUGUGAUGAUAAGAGCUAACCAGAGGGGCUAGCCAAAGAAGAGAGGGACCAACUUGGGAAGAAAGAAGAGAAGUAGGAGGGCAAAAUUGCAAAGUGGCAAAUCAGAUCGUGAGGGAUCAAAAUCCCUAGCACAACCACCGAUCCCCUUCAGGCCUGGCACUUCUCUCUCCCUCCCCUGCCUUCUUCUCCAUCUCAGGCCGCCGCCACGGCCAGGCCGGCGUGGUAGGUGCGUCACCAGCACCCAGCGCCACCCACCCACCAUCUUCGCCGCCGCGCCACCGCACCAGCAGCCUCCAUCACCCCCAUCCACCGCAACAUCCAUCCAUUUCAGCUGCCGCCGCGCCUAGAUCCUUCCCCCUGCUGCCCGCUUCUCUCUUCUUCUCUCCAAUCUUCUUCUCUUAACCCUUCUGCUCCUCCUUCCCUCGUCCUUGCUGCUGCUCUCUCCCUCUCAUAGCGCUGCUCCUCCUCUCCCCUCGCCCCUACUGCUGCUACUCCACUUCCUCAUCAAAUCUUGCUGCUGCUUCUCUGAAUCCUUCUUGCUGCCGCUCUCUACUGCUUCUACUCCAUCUCCUUGCACUCCUGCUUCUUCUUGUUUUCUGAAUCCCCAGACGCUGAUGCUACUCUCUCGCCCCGCGAACCUAUUACUGCACCUUCUCCUUAACUCUCUCUGAACCCCCUACUCCUCUUCACCUACAACUCUCUCUCAUUCUCUAAUUUCUGUAAUUUUGAGUAGUGUAAUGAUCAAUACUAUGUAAUGUUCAAUUUUGUUAAGUGUAGUAUCCUACUGUUUGGUUCAGUUUCGGAGUUGUAUUAUAUAAUGUUUGAUUUGUAUGUCCUCACUAGUUGAUACCUUGUCACUUUGAGAAGUACUUCAUCUGUCAUACUUUGCUUAGUGAAAUAAUAAUCUGCAUAUGUAUGUGUUGUCCUGUGAUGUAUAAAUAUGUGUGUGUUUGUGAUGGGCAAAAUCUAGCCUCUGUCAUAUUAUCUUGUUUCUUCUCUCUGUACUUGUUUUGUCAUGUGACUUUCCUUUCGUGUAAGUUUCUAUUGUCUCUAUUAGUAUGAAAAUACCAAAAAGACAGUAAGUAAAAUCUUAGUCUGCCUGUGCUUAUUUUUGCAUUUUCUUUGUCGACGAUCUUUGGGAACGACCUUGUUAGUUUAGGUCUAUAUUUCCUUGCAAUCAUCAUCUGAAUUCUAUCACCUAGCUUUAGCCGAGCAGUGUUGCCAUCGCCUAGUCCCUGUGGAGAACACAACACUCGCAGUUUGGGCGAAAUAUCCCGCUGUACUUACAUUUGAUCAUUUUGGCGCCGUUGCCGGGGACUAGCGUCAAACGAUUGUGUGAAGCUAUAGACUAGGCUUAGUAUAGUUUUUCUUUAAAUUUCCAUUCAAAUUUAUUUCUAUGCUUCUUUUACCUUUUUACUUUUUGUUGCUUCGGCUUAUUAGGAUACUAACUUUCUGACUAGUGUUUACUGUUUAUGAGUGUGUGUAGGAAAUCUGGACUAAUUGCAUGUUGUUCUAUAGUUACACUCGGUUAAGAUGGCAUUGCUUCGUGAUCUUUGGAUGCCCAAAAGUCAGUGCUAUAUCACAGGACCGGUUUGGCCAACUAUUGAGGCAGAGAACUUUGACCUAAAACCUAUUCUUAUUGCUUUGGUUCAACAACAUCAGUUUGGAGGACUGCCUACUGAGGAUCCCUAUGAGCACCUACACCGAGUCAUGGAGUAUUCAGGUACAGUCAAGUACCAUGGAGUUCCUCAAGAUGCUAUCAAGUGCAUGUUGUUCACAUUCUCUCUCCAAGAUGAUGCUCGUGCUUGGUAUCGAUCCUUUCCAUCAAGAUCAUUCAGUUGGAACGAGAUAUCACAAGCUUUCUUGGAUAAAUAUUUCCCACUACACAAGCAGUCCGCAAUUCGAGAUGAGAUCUUCAGCUUUGUUCAGCGUGAAGGCGAGAGCUUGUAGGAUGCUUGGGAGAGAUACAAGGCUUUAUUCAGGAGAUGUCCUAACCACGGGCUCGAGAGAUGGUUAGAGUUUUAGAUAUUCUAUAGAGGAUUGACUUCGUACACUCGAUCUUACGUUGAUAUGGCAGCGGGUGGAGCUAUUACAAACAAGACACUUGAUGAUGCUUUUUUGCUGAUUGAGAGCAUAGCUUUCCACCAACUUCAGUGGUAUAGUGAGAGACCCAGCUCAGAUUUGUUGGUUUGCUGUCACCACACUUCAACUCAGCAAGAAUGUCUUACACAAAAGCCAGAACCAGUUUCUCUGUGUGACAAGAUUGAGCUUUCAUGGAUUAUCUUUGAUGAUGAUGACACCAGCCUAGUUGACACACACUGCAGAUCAUAUGGAUAUUAGCAUUCGAGAUUCAGUUUUGCAUUGUGAUGAUUCUUCCGUGGAUGAACCAGAGCUGCAGUUAGUUGCUUUUGAUAUUGAGAAGUCACCUUUAGUUCAUAUUGAUCAUGUGCUGGUAGAGCCAGAUAUGGAGAAGUUCUCCUUCGAUGAUGUCAGCUGCAUUGAUUCCUCAACACUUGAGCCUGAGAUGGAGAGCUUCAUGGUUGAUUAUGAUGAGGUGGAUUCAGAUGUCAAGGAGCCAAGCUCUACUAUUUUCACUUGUUGACACGAUUCCGGUGGAAAUUUCUACAACCACACCUCACUUGAUAUCUUCAAUUGAGGUAGUCCUGAAGCUUCUUCCUAACUAUCUCAGGUAUGAUCUCAGCUUUCUCGACAAGAUAUGCCAUAUCAUGGAUACUGCCUAUGCACCGUGCGAUUUAUUGAUGCUAUCUAUUUAUCAUAUGCUCCAUAGAUAUGCUUAUGUGAUAGGAUACUCUAUUGAUGACUUAGAGGGCAUUGUCCCUACCAUUUGUAUUGGCUUGUUUGUUGAGUGUUCUUUCAGGUUUACGCUUGUGCACCAUUCAUUGUGGGCUGACCAAGUUCGAGAUGACAUCCCAUGGGAUCCUGGUGGACCCAAAGCAUGGCGAUGAGGAGAAGCAAUGGGGCACACACGAAGAAGAGUGAAGCUGGAGAAUCCAUGAGGAAGCAAAGGAGAAGAGCUGCAGUUGGUGAGAUGAUCGAGCGAGUGCUACACCAUCAAAGCCCGGUGAGCUGUUUCAUGACCCAUUUCGAAUAUAUCAUCCAUUGAUACAUGCUGAAAUCAAUUGCUAUUUGGGUUGCUUGAGUCAUUUCUUAAAUAUCGUCCCACUGAAUUUUACCUUCGACAUAGGGUGAUUGAUGUGAAUAUGUGAAUUGAGUGUUGAAUGCCUUGUAAACUAGUGACCUAUACAAUGCUUGCUUUGCUGAAAGUAGUGGAAGCUAUUAGUUUUGAGUGCUCAAAUCCCUAGUACACUAGAAAACUUAAUCAUUUUUUGCUUUUACCUUGAUACACCUAGAUCAUCAAGUGUUAGAUGCUGAAUUUGUGCCAAGUGUGUUCCCAUUUAGAGCAAUCACUUAACCACUAUGGAUUAGCAUGCUAUGUUCUCUGGAUCGGUAGCAUGUGAACCAGAAAUGGAUGAGUGAUGAUUCUUGUUUCCUUAUGUUUCAUGCCAUUGUAAUUCCUUUGUUCAAUAUGUAAUAAUAAAUAAGUCUGACUACCUAUAGUAGCAUGUCAUGUUCCCUGGAUCGGUGGCAUGUGAAAUCGGGUUAGCUUGGGCAGUAAUUAAUAAUAAACAUGUAAUUGUCGAACCAGGUGUAUACCAUGUUCUUGGGAUUGGUGGUAUGUUCCUUAGGGGAGACAAACAAAAACAAAAACUAAUAAUUGGUCGAGCCAGGUGUAUACCAUAUUCUCGGGAUCGGUGGUAUGUUCCUAUGGUGAGAAUAAUAAUAAUAAUAUAAUCAUUUCUUUAUCUCUGUAAAUAAGUGAUUUGAUCACAAGAUUUAAUUCUAGUUCUUUUUGUUCUCGGGAUCAUGCUCUCUUUAGGAACCAUUUGGCACAGUCAUCAUUUAAACUUGUCGAUCUUCUGUUAUCAUUGUAGAAGUUUUAAAUGAUUGAGUCUACUAGUAUCCUACUGCUUUGUAACACUCUUAACCAUUAAUUUUCACUAGCAAAGACCAAAAGCAUGCAUUGUUUGGAGAUCUAUUUUACCAGGACAUUCUUUACUCAGCUCACUGUUCACAUUCUUGCUCUUGUCACAUGCCUUUGCUUGAGGACAAGCAAAGAUUUAAGUGUGGGGGAACUUGAUAAGCACAUUUCAUAUACAUCUUUUGGCACUUAAAUAUGUGGUUUAUUGAGAUACGACCAUCAAUUCUUGCUGUGAAAUAUUGAAUACUUGUAUGAAAAUCAUAUAAAGAAUCAUUUACAAGUCAUUUGUUUCUUUUGCAGAAAGGUGCGCAAAGGCACUAUAAACUUCCAAGAUCUGGACUAGGUGGCUAAGAGAAUUAGUCAAGUGAAAAGAAGAGAAGGAAGAAAGGACUUGGGUGUGAUGAUAAGAGCUAACCAGAGGGGCUAGCCAAAGAAGAGAGGGACCAACUUGGGAAGAAAGAAGAGAAGUAGGAGGGCAAAAUUGCAAAGUGGCAAAUCAGAUCGUGAGGGAUCAAAAUCCCUAGCACAACCACCGAUCCCCUUCAGGCCUGGCACUUCUCUCUCCCUCCCCUGCCUUCUUCUCCAUCUCAGGCCGCCGCCACGGCCAGGCCGGCGUGGUAGGUGCGCCACCAGCACCCAGCGCCACCCAUCCACCAUCUUCGCCGCCGCGCCACCGCACCAGCAGCCUCCAUCACCCCCAUCCACCGCAACAUCCAUCCAUUUCAGCCACCGCCGUGCCUAGAUCCUUCCCCCUGCUGCUCGCUUCUCUCUUCUUCUCUCCAGUCUUCUUCUCCUAACCCUUCUGCUCCUCCUUCCCUCGUCCUUGCUGCUGCUCUCUCCCUCUCCUAGAGCUGCUGCUCCUCUCCCCUCGCCCCUACUGCUACUACUCCACUUCCUCAAAUCUUGCUGCUGCUUCUCUGAAUCCUUCUUGCUGCCACUCUCUACAACUUCUACUCCAUCUCCCUGCACUCCUACUUCUUCUUGUUUUCUGAAUCCCCAAACGCUGCUGCUACUCCCUCGCCCCGCGAACCUAUUGCUGCACCUUCUCCUCAACUCUCUCUGAACCCCCUACUCCUCUUCACCUACAACUCUCUCUCAUUCUCUAAUUUCUGUAAUUUUGAGUAGCGCAAUGAUCAAUACUAUGUAAUGUUCAAUUUUGGUAAGUGUAGUAUCCUACUGUUUGGUUCAGUUUCGAAGUUGUAUUUUAUAAUGUUUGAUUUGUAUGUCCUCACUAGUUGAUACCUUGUCACUUUGAGAAGUACUUCAUCUGUCAUACUUUGCUUAGUGAAAUAAUAAUCUGCAUAUGUA
Molecule: non-coding RNA, 5712 nt
Organism: Aegilops tauschii subsp. strangulata
Lineage: Eukaryota; Viridiplantae; Streptophyta; Magnoliopsida; Poales; Poaceae
Source: RefSeq, a predicted model, not a curated record